This 253-nucleotide unclassified non-coding RNA is filed under the name uncultured Actinomycetes bacterium. Its description in RNAcentral is "uncultured actinobacterium contains 16S-23S intergenic spacer region". It matches the Rfam family "Bacterial small subunit ribosomal RNA", at positions 524 to 776 of the family's 1533-position model. The record is from RNAcentral. Lineage: Bacteria; Bacillati; Actinomycetota; Actinomycetes.
UACGUAGGGGGCAAGCGUUGCCCGGAUUCACUGGGCGUAAAGCGCGUGUAGGCGGUCCGUUAAGUCGGAUGUGAAAUCCCAGGGCUCAACCCUGGAAUUGCAUCCGAUACUGGCAGACUUGAGGACGGUAGAGGCCGGUGGAAUUCCCGGUGUACCGGUGAAAUGGGCAGAUAUCGGGAGGAACACCAGUGGCGAAGGCGGCCGGCUGGGCCGAUCCUGACGCUGAGACGCGAAAGCCAGGGGAGCGAACCGG